CAUUGUUAAUUAUUAAAGCUAUUUAAUUUCGGUAUUUAAGAGCAGAAGGGUAUUUUGGUCAUUUUACCAAAAUAGUAUUUGAGUAUUUCCACAAAGAAGUAUUUUAGUAUUUUCAAGAAAGUAUUUUAUUAAUAUUAGUAGGAAGAUUAUUUUGGAAAUUGAUCAUCAAAUGUAUUUUGGCAAUUUGAUGAGUAAGGGUAUUUUAGUCUUUUACACAAAAUGACUACCACUAUAAAAAGGGGAAAACCUAAAGUUUCCCAUCUUUUUCCAUCUUCUUCACUAGCCACCAUUUCUUCAAAAAGGAGAAGAUCUUGCAAUUAUCAAAGGGAAGCAAAGAGGUUGCAAGAAUAAUUAAAGCCAGUCAAACUUUUGACUGUUGAUUUUCGUGUAAUCAAGGUACAUACACUUUGACCUUGACUUUAGUAGUUUCAAAGGAUAUAUAUAUCUUAUUGAGCAUGAGGAGUAAGGAGAGGCUUAUGCCUUGAAAUUGUUUGAGUAUAUGUUGAGAACUUAGAAAGGAGAUUAGGAAUGGAACUUUUAAGUUAUUCCUAUAUUUGAAAAGCAUUUAUUGAUGUUAAUUGCUUUUGAGCAUGAUUAAAGUUAUUAAAGUUAUUCUUGAAGCUAGGGCUUGCCUGAGAAUAUUUUAUUGAGCAUGGUCUCAAUUGAGGUUAUAUAUUUUAUUGAGCAUGGUCUCAUUAGAAGUUAUAUAUAUUAUUGAGCAAGGUCUCACAAGUUAUCAAGUUAUUGAGCAAGGUCUCACAAGUUAUCAAGUUAUGGAGCAAGGUCUCACAAGUUAUCAAGUUAUUGAGCAAGGUCUCAUAAGUUAAAGUUAUUGAGCAAGGUCUCACAAAUAGUUUAAUCAUUGAGCAAGGACUCAAUUGAUUGGAUCAUGGAUCCUUAAGAAAGUAAGAAAAAGGACUCAUGGAGUCAUUAAAGUAAUAAGAUGAGCAAGGUCUCAAAGAAUUUAGAAUUGAGUUAACUAUGGUGUUUGUUGCAUUCACUUGUUAA
Molecule: long non-coding RNA, 1008 nt
Organism: Beta vulgaris subsp. vulgaris (sugar beet)
Lineage: Eukaryota; Viridiplantae; Streptophyta; Magnoliopsida; Caryophyllales; Amaranthaceae
Exons: 3
Source: RefSeq, a predicted model, not a curated record